This 253-nucleotide ribosomal RNA is filed under the name uncultured bacterium. RNAcentral's name for it is "partial 16S ribosomal RNA". It matches the Rfam family "Bacterial small subunit ribosomal RNA", at positions 524 to 776 of the family's 1533-position model. The record is from RNAcentral.
UACGUAGGGGGCAAGCGUUGUCCGGAAUCAUUGGGCGUAAAGAGCGCGUAGGCGGUCCGGUAAGUCCGCUCUGAAAGUCCGGGGCUCAACCCCGGGAGGCGGGCGGAUACUGUCGGGCUUGAGUACGGAAGAGGCGAGUGGAAUUCCUGGUGUAGCGGUGAAAUGCGCAGAUAUCAGGAGGAACACCAAUUGCGAAGGCAGCUCGCUGGGACGUUACUGACGCUGAGACGCGAAAGCGUGGGGAGCAAACAGG